Perognathus longimembris pacificus (Pacific pocket mouse) is the source of this 110-nucleotide long non-coding RNA. RefSeq lists it as uncharacterized. Lineage: Eukaryota; Metazoa; Chordata; Mammalia; Rodentia; Heteromyidae. The transcript has 4 exons. The record is from RefSeq and is a predicted model, not a curated record.
UGGGGAGCAUCAAGCCAAAUGUGGCCCGCCAUAGCGCUAGGGCAGGGGGUUUAGGUGUGGGUGGACCCGGGGGCUCAUGGGAGGAGCUGAGGACCUGAGGCGGGGGAAAC